GAGGCGUAUAAACACCCAGACCUGCUAACUCUGGCAACCGAAGAUAAAAUCCUCGGGCCUCUUA
Molecule: transfer RNA, 64 nt
Filed under: Acanthodactylus erythrurus lineomaculatus
Lineage: Eukaryota; Metazoa; Chordata; Lepidosauria; Squamata; Lacertidae
Description: tRNA-Ser
Source: RNAcentral